Molecule: ribosomal RNA, 252 nt
Filed under: uncultured bacterium
Lineage: Bacteria
Description: partial 16S ribosomal RNA
Rfam family: Bacterial small subunit ribosomal RNA
Source: RNAcentral
UACGUAGGUCCCGAGCGUUGUCCGGAUUUAUUGGGCGUAAAGCGAGCGCAGGUGGUCUAUUAAGUCUGGUGUAAAAGGCAGUGGCUCAACCAUUGUAUGCAUUGGAAACUGGUAGACUUGAGUGCAGGAGAGGAGAAUGGAAUUCCUAGUGUAGCGGUGAAAUGCGUAGAGAUUAGGAAGAACACCAGUGGCGAAGGCGAUUCUCUGGACUGUAACUGACGCUGAGGCUCGAAAGCGUGGGGAGCAAACAGG